RNAcentral lists this long non-coding RNA (1229 nucleotides) under Sus scrofa (pig). RNAcentral describes it as "lncRNA (ENSSSCG00015057670.1)". Lineage: Eukaryota; Metazoa; Chordata; Mammalia; Artiodactyla; Suidae. The record is from RNAcentral.
CAUGAGGCAUCAUGGAACAGAGAAUACCUGGUGCCCAGGAAACCUAUAAAAACACACUGGGCACUUGCUCUGGGCUCUGCUCAAGAAACCUUCAGCCCCAAGCUGCACUGUGGUCCAGAGGGUCCUCUGGCGCCGAAACCCAGGGAAACCCUCAGGCAUUCGAAACGCUCUGCCACCCGACCAGGCUGCAAAUCCACCCCCACUGCUGAAGGGACACCUGUGUCCUCUGCCUGCCAGGAGCCACCUUGGCACAGAGCGUCCCGGGAGCCUAGAGAACAACGCCCAGCCUCUGGCUGCUGGCUUGCGGCUUCCACCGAUCCCCCCACCCACCCCACCUCUCAGCCUGGAUAUGCAGCCUCGGAGCUGGGCCGCCGUCCAGAGGGUCCUCUGGCGCCGUCUUGCGGACAGCUGCUCUCACAGCAGCUCUCAGGUGGUCCUCAUCUCUGUGGCUCCCCAGCCCCCGGGGCUCCAUCCGCCUUGGGCAAGAUGCUGCUUGGCCGUCCAUCGCCCCGCCCCUUCCUUUUCAAGACCAAGAAGUGCCCGACAAAGGGGGCUCCGUCUCUCUCAAGGGCUUCCAGUGCACUGAGGCCAACCUACCCCACCCCAACCAGCCCAUUCAAACCCUCAGCUCCACACCCAUCACGUCCCCGACAGCCUUCUUCCCUGCUUCACGCAGGCGCUCCUGAGCGCAGCUGGGCACGGCUGCCACUGGCGACUCUUUUCUUACCUUUCCGCCUUUGAUUCGGUCGCACACACGUGUCUUGCCUCGAUUCUCUGCUUUCCGCGCCUUCCUUUCUCCCCUUCCUUCUUGGGUCCUGUCUUCCUUCCUGUCUCUCUCUUCCUUGCUCCCUCUUCACUUUCUCUCUUUAUUGACUCCCCAUCCCACCCCCACCAAAGCAAGCAUGCUUUGUCUGCCCAUCGACAGAUUUCAAGCCACUGAGGUUCCCAGUCCCCCAGCAGGGCCCAGGGCAGGUCCUUGACCCAGAGAGCCAGGAGGGAUCUCCAGGAGAGCUUUCUUUCGAUCAAUCUACCGGCCUGAAUUCCCCGGACCUGGCUUUCAAUCAGGUCUUCCUACCAGGUGUAUAGAGAGAGAGGAAAAAAAACAAGAGGCUCAUGUGGAAAGAAAAAGACGGAGGUUCAGGAGACCUCUUGAGAGAAAUGGCACGGGGAUUAGUGCAGCUGCUCACCAAAAAAAUAAAAUAAAAUAAAAUAAAAUAAAAUAAAAUAAA